Molecule: ribosomal RNA, 465 nt
Filed under: uncultured Klebsiella sp.
Lineage: Bacteria; Pseudomonadati; Pseudomonadota; Gammaproteobacteria; Enterobacterales; Enterobacteriaceae
Description: bacterial SSU rRNA
Rfam family: Bacterial small subunit ribosomal RNA
Source: RNAcentral
CCUACGGGAGGCAGCAGUGGGGAAUAUUGCACAAUGGGCGCAAGCCUGAUGCAGCCAUGCCGCGUGUGUGAAGAAGGCCUUCGGGUUGUAAAGCACUUUCAGCGGGGAGAAAGGCGUUAAGGUUAAUAACCUUGGCGAUUGACGUUACCCGCAGAAGAAGCACCGGCUAACUCCGUGCCAGCAGCCGCGGUAAUACGGAGGGUGCAAGCGUUAAUCGGAAUUACUGGGCGUAAAGCGCACGCAGGCGGUCUGUCAAGUCGGAUGUGAAAUCCCCGGGCUCAACCUGGGAACUGCAUUCGAAACUGGCAGGCUAGAGUCUUGUAGAGGGGGGUAGAAUUCCAGGUGUAGCGGUGAAAUGCGUAGAGAUCUGGAGGAAUACCGGUGGCGAAGGCGGCCCCCUGGACAAAGACUGACGCUCAGGUGCGAAAGCGUGGGGAGCAAACAGGAUUAGAUACCCUAGUAGUC